Long non-coding RNA from Wyeomyia smithii (pitcher-plant mosquito), 926 nucleotides. RefSeq lists it as uncharacterized. Lineage: Eukaryota; Metazoa; Arthropoda; Insecta; Diptera; Culicidae. The transcript has 3 exons. The record is from RefSeq and is a predicted model, not a curated record.
UUAUACAGAUUUUUUCGGUUUUCGUGUGGUUGCGAAUUAAACUUUUUGAUAUAGUUGAAAAACGAAAAUGAACUCAAAUGCUGUUGAGCGUGUUCAAGGUUUUGUUACAUCAAUAUGUUACGCGUAAGCGCAAUAAUGAAUCGCCGGAUAUAUGUUAAACAAACUAUACUGCGUUUUUUUUCUAUAUAGAAAUAUGUCCAGUACAUAUGCAAAUUUUUAUACAGAUUUUUUGAAAAUUCACCAAGGUGACAAGAUUUUCUGCGAUUCGAAAUACAGAUGAAAAUGUGGCAUCAUUGGCCAUAUCAACAUGUGUUUGUUUACCUGUUCCAGUCGGAAAAAAGUUGACGAAGUCUGUGAAGCUUUUACUGCACAAAUAACGUGAGAAUGAAAAGGGCUAGCAGCGAUGCAAAACAAAAACUUACAACGGACAUCACCGAUGGAGUUAAAAUUAUUCCAGCUUGUGAUGAAAUUGCAGUUUCCCUCCCCAGCAACUGGGACAGUUCGGGAAUGCGCUGUGAAGUCUACAACAAGGAAUUGAGCUCAAAACAGACUCAUAGGAUGUUCAAGUGUGAUAUAUGAAAGCAAUAUUUUUCUUUAAGAAAUUUCUCUGCCCACAUGAAUAUACACCGUACAAGCUGUCCUCAUCAAUGUUUGAUCUGCGAUGAAACAUUCGCAAGUAAUCGCAAUCUAGUAGACCAUGUGCGCACUCACAUCGAUGCGACACCCUCCAAAUGCGACAUCGGUGCUCUAAAGAAUCGAACGAAUAUCCACAAAAACGAGCCAUCCCCAGGAUGCACCAACACAGAAGGUUUGGAAUCAAACUAGUUCCUUCGAAUGCAACCUCCCAAAUGUAACAUCAGUGACGCAUCAUUUAAGCACCGUGAUGUUCUAAAGAACCAAACGAAUAUCCAUAAGAACAAGCCAUC